AGGACCCGUCUUGAAACACGGGCCNGGGAGUCUAGCAUAUUUGCAAGUCAUAGAGUUUAAGAAAAACUCUUGGGCACAAUUAACGUAAAGGGUGUGUGUGUUUCUCACACACACACCAAGGGAAGAUGAGUAGUGGAUAUUUAAAUACUAUUUCGCACUCCUGGGGCGUUCCGUACAAGUUUUAUUAUGUAUGUUUUAAAAUUUGGGGCGCACCAAGAGCAUAUACGCUAGGACCCGAAAGAUGGUGAACUAUGC
RNAcentral lists this ribosomal RNA (255 nucleotides) under Edaphopaussus dissimulator. RNAcentral describes it as "partial 28S ribosomal RNA". It matches the Rfam family "Eukaryotic large subunit ribosomal RNA", at positions 644 to 836 of the family's 3401-position model. Lineage: Eukaryota; Metazoa; Arthropoda; Insecta; Coleoptera; Carabidae. The record is from RNAcentral.